GGAACUUCCAAGGGGGAUGAUACGAAGAAACAGCGAAGGCCGCUCCUCACGCAGUUCUUCUCGCCCAUUUUUCUGAAGGCGUUCUCAAUCACUUUCUUUGGUGAAUGGGGCGAUAAGAGUCAGAUAGCCACGAUUGGGCUGGCAUCAGAUGCGAACCCUUACGGCGUAGUUCUUGGUGGAAUCCUGGGACAAGCGCUGUGCACGACAGCUGCUGUUCUGGGAGGAAAGAGCUUAGCAUCUCAGAUAUCGGAGAAGAUGGUAGCGCUCUCGAGCGGUGUGCUUUUCCUCGUGUUUGGCCUUCAAUCCUUCCUCUCUGCACCGGGAGAGUUGAUGUGAUACCCG
This 342-nucleotide unclassified non-coding RNA is filed under the name Hevea brasiliensis (rubber tree). Lineage: Eukaryota; Viridiplantae; Streptophyta; Magnoliopsida; Malpighiales; Euphorbiaceae. The record is from RNAcentral.